Small nucleolar RNA from Arvicanthis niloticus (Nile rat), 131 nucleotides. RefSeq annotates it as small nucleolar RNA SNORA17. NCBI's taxonomy places the organism in Eukaryota, Metazoa, Chordata, Mammalia, Rodentia, Muridae. The record is from RefSeq and is a predicted model, not a curated record.
CCUUCCUCUAGAGGCAUUGCAGGUGAGCCUGCUGGGUCACAUGUGCAUCUUUAGAUGACAGAGAAGAGAGAGGCCAUGCUAUGCUCAGCGCUCUGACCUAUGGACAUCCGAAUGGUCCUAAGAUUCCCUGA